GACGAACGCUGACGGCAGGCCUAACACAUGCAAGUCGAACGAGUGGCGGACGGGUGAGUAAUGUCUGGGACACUGCCUGAUGGCGGGGGCUAACUACUGGAAAAGGUCGCUAAUAACGCAUACCAUCGGAUGUGCACAGAUUGGAUUAGCUAGUAGGUGGGGUAACGCCUCACCUAGGCGACGAUCCCGAGCUGUUCUGAGAGGAUGACCUGCCUCACUGUAACUGAAACACGGUCCAGACUCCUACGUGAGGCAGCAGUUGGGAAUAUUUCACUAUGGGCGAAAGCCGGAUGCAGCCAUGCCGCGUGUAUGAAGAAGUCCUUCGGGUUGUAAAGUACGUUAAGCGGGGAGGCGUUACCCGCAGAAGAAGCACCGGCUAACGCCGUGCCAGCAGCCGCGGUAAUAC
This 406-nucleotide ribosomal RNA is filed under the name uncultured bacterium. RNAcentral describes it as "partial 16S ribosomal RNA". It matches the Rfam family "Bacterial small subunit ribosomal RNA", at positions 28 to 526 of the family's 1533-position model. The record is from RNAcentral.